GGUGGCGGUGCCGAUAUUUGCAAGCACUUCGUGCAGUGCUCUUUCAUUCUCUUUAUUUCGAUGGCCAACCGAAAUCUCUUAACCAUUGUUCAAAACUUGUAGAGCGGAAAAGGCGUGCGCUUCCACAAAACGAGCCGAAA
This is a non-coding RNA of Caenorhabditis elegans, 140 nucleotides long. The record is from Ensembl. Lineage: Eukaryota; Metazoa; Nematoda; Chromadorea; Rhabditida; Rhabditidae.